GCUCCGCCAUGAUGCCAUCAGUCCUCCUACCGCUUCCCCCCUCCUCAUCUCUAUCUCUCUCCCCAUCGUUGUCACGGCAUCUCUCUCAGCACCAACCCCCAAAGGGUUUCCACUUUCUAGGGUUUUUAGGGCUCUCAGAGUUUGUCCAAUCUUUCGCCAUUUCUCAGAUUUGUGAUUUGCUCGCCGAAUAUUGCUCCAAUGCGUCUGUAGAAGAAGCACGAUCAGUGCAAACCAGAAACAACAUCUGCUGUUGGGCGACUGAUGUUCUUCAUAGUUCAUACUCUGUUGAUAUUUCAGGGAAUGGAUUUUAUAUUUACCGCAGUGAAAAGACAUUUAGCAUGAUGUGGGGAGUUUAGUUUUAUAAGGCACGGAACAGUCUAACUCGUGACGUGAUAAACCUGAAAGGCUUCUCAAGGAACUGAUCAUUGAAAACUUCCUCGUUUUGGCACUUCAUUUGGAUUACGUGAUCAGACUGAGUAACCCUAGAAAUGGCUUCGUCUUCUGGUACUUCUGAAAUUGUUGAAGCAAAAGACGAGCUAAUUACAGGUCAAUAUUCUCACGGAAUACAUCGAACGAAUCCUGGAUUGAGUAGGGGUGAGAAAGAUCGGAAGCUUCCUCCUGUUCUAAAACUGGGAUACAAGGAUUCUCUAGAAGAUGAUAUUAAUAAGCUCUUUGAGGCAAUCAAAACAUCAUCCAAGGGUUCAGAUCGUUCAAAGCAAGUAGGCACUAGCCCUUUAAAUAGAAAUGCCUUAAAGAAACCAAUUACAGUGGGUGUGUCUCACUCACCAGGGAUUGGGAAUUCAGAACCGGCGACUCUGAAGCAGGCGUUAAGAGAGCUCUCUAUUACCAAGGCAUCAGAAAUGGCUGCUAUGAAACGGUUAUCAAAAUUGACAAGUCCUUCAAGAGCCUCGGAAUCUGGGAGGAUCAAGACGUUAUACAAUGCAGUUGUUGUUCAAUCUAGUCACUCUGGCGCCUCCUCAAGUGAAGAUAGGGGAAAUAUGGUUGAAAUCUCUCUGGUGCCAGAAGAAAGCAUUUCAAAUUCUUGCAGGGAGCUGUCCGAGCAUCCUCAAAUGUCCAAGAUGAAGUCAUCAAGCCAGAGUGGACAUUCUUCUCCUCGAUUUGCCAUUGGGAAAACAGAAAAUAAUUCCGGGAGCACAAUAGUGCAAAAUGAAAGUACUUCCAGUUGCAAGUUAAGGACAGUAGGGGAGCAAACAGUAAAGGUGGAAAUGGGAAAGAAGGAGAACAAUAAAUCUACGAAUGACCAUAUUUCAGAACUUGCUGAAAAUGGCCCUUCCAACACCGUGUUACGGACAAAAACUAAGUCGGAGCUGGGGAAGAAAGAGAAACUUAAAUCUACAAGUGGCAAUACUUCAGGACUUGUUCAAAAUGUUCCUGCCAAGACCAAGUUAGCGAAUAAGGUAUCAGCAGUAAAACCAGGGCGAAAAGUCAAGUUGCAUGUAGUACCUUCUUCAUCUAGUUUGGUGAAUGUAAAUCCGGCAAGCAAAGUAUCCAGAAAUACCGUCCGCUCUGUAAAACAAGCCAGCAGGAAUAGGAAUAUCUUAAAGAAGAAGACAAGGCAACUGGUCUGUGAGAGAUGCCAAUGUGCAAUACAAGGUGCUGGACAACAAUCCAAUGAAGGUUCUUUGUCUCCCCAGUUUAACGGUCUUGCUAAUGAAAUAAACUCAAGUAAUGUGCACAGCACUCCAGGUAAACCAGGCUUCACCUUGGACAACAAGAAGACUGGCAAUACAGGGGGAGCUGGCAUCAUGAAAUCAAAAACGAACUCCAAUUCAAAAGAAAGAGGGGAGUUCUCCCAAAGCUCAAAAAGUAGCCAAGGUGAUCAUAGUAGUAGUACAAGUUUGAGUGACGAGAGCAAUGUAAGUGGAUCUAGUUAUAGCAAUAAACCUCACAUGUCAAAGGAUGUGAGGUGGGAGGCCAUCCGUCAUGUUCGGUUGCAGCAUGGAUCCUUGGGCUUGAGACACUUUAACCUUUUGAAAAAGCUUGGUUGUGGAGACAUAGGAACUGUAUAUCUUGCUGAACUCAUUAGUACGAACUGUCAUUUUGCCAUAAAGGUAAUGGACAAUGAAUUCUUGGCUAGAAGGAAGAAGAUGCCAAGGGCGCAGACUGAAAGAGAAAUACUGAGGAUGCUUGAUCAUCCUUUUCUCCCUACGCUUUAUACUCAAUUUACAUCAGAUAAUCUGUCAUGUUUAGUUACGGAGUAUUGCCCAGGCGGAGAUCUUCAUGUCCUCCGACAGAAGCAAAUUGGAAGGUGUUUUUCUGAAGCAGCAACAAGGUUCUAUGUUGCGGAAAUUCUCCUUGCUUUGGAGUAUUUACACAUGCUUGGGGUAGUUUAUCGGGAUUUGAAACCAGAAAACAUUCUAGUUCGGGAAGAUGGUCAUAUCAUGCUCACAGAUUUUGACCUGUCUCUUAGGUGCACUGUCAGUCCAACUCUAUUGAAAUCACCUUCAUGCGAUGUUUAUCGUGCAAGAGUGUCUGGUCCGUGUACACAAUCUAGCUGCGCCGAGCCCUUCUGCAUUGAACCCUCCUGUCAAGUCCCAUGCUUCAGCCCUAGGUUUCCUGCUGCUGCAAAAGCAAAGAAGUCCAAAAAUGACCCUGCAUCCCAUGUUAGAUCAUUGCCACAGCUUGUGGCAGAGCCUACUGAUGCGCGGUCCAAUUCCUUUGUCGGGACCCAUGAGUACUUGGCUCCGGAGAUCAUCAAAGGAGAGGGUCAUGGAGCUGCAGUUGAUUGGUGGACGUUUGGAAUCUUCCUUUACGAGCUUCUGUACGGCAGAACACCAUUCAAAGGUAUUAACAACGAGGAAACGUUGGCCAAUGUGGUGUUGCAGAGCCUAAGGUUCCCAGAGGACCCCCAUGUUAGCUUCCAGGCUCGAGAUCUCAUCAGAGAUCUGUUGGUAAAGGAGCCAGAGAAUCGGUUGGGAUCAGAGAAAGGGGCCGGUGAGAUCAAGCAGCAUCCGUUCUUUGAGGGCCUGAAUUGGGCACUGAUACGCUGCGCCACUCCGCCAGAACUGCCCGAGUAUUGCGAUUUUGAGAUCCCGGACAUGCCUGCUGCUCAGGAGAAUACCAAGUAUUUGGAGUUCAAGGCGACGGGAGAGCACCUGGAGUUUGAGUUAUUUUAGAGGAAAGUCACAAUUUUUAGGAGAAGAAGAAGCUUUCUGCUUGUGCAUUGGUAGGUACGAAAACAAUCGCCGGCGUCUGGCAGAAGAGUCGGACUAGGAUUCAACACCACUGGUAUACUGGAUUCCCCCCCCUAAUAAUCCUCUCCAUCUCUCUGCCGCCGCCACAAGCAUAGUUUGUCGUUGACAUCACCAACCUCCACUGCGAGCUCUCACCUGCCCUCGCCGCCAUCAAUUUGUAGAGGUUGAUGGGUGUGAUUGAUAUAUACAACGCUUCCUCACUCCGAUUAACCGCCCCCCGCGGACCCAGCUGUGGAAGAAUUGAAGGGAAUAGAAAGAGGGUGAGGGUGGUGGGUAUGGCGUCCACAAUCCCUGUGCAGCAUAAACCAGUCAAUGACGGUCAACAGCGUUUGACUGGGGACUCAUUCAUUCGACCCCAUUUGAGGAACUUGUCUCCUUAUCAGCCCAUUUUGCCAUUUGAGGUUUUGUCAACUAGACUUGGAAGGAAGCCUGAGGACAUCAUCAAGCUAGAUGCAAAUGAAAACCCUUAUGGUCCUCCUCCGGAGGUUUUUGAAGCUUUGGGUGCAUUGAAAUUCCCAUAUAUCUAUCCCGACCCUGAAAGCCAUCGAUUACGUGCUGCCCUUGCAAAGGAUUCGGGCCUUGAAUCUGAUUAUAUUCUUGUCGGAUGUGGUGCUGGUGAGCUCAUUGAUUUGAUUAUGAGAUGUGUACUUGAUCCUGGCGACAAGAUUGUUGAUUGCCCACCGACGUUCACUAUGUAAGAAUUUGAUGCUGCAGUAAACGCUGCUUCUGUCAUCAAAGGUAAAGUUAACUUCCUGCUUAAUUUUCUGUUGAAUAUUUCAAAAAAGUUUAUUAUUUCAUAUAUGAAACUCUUUCUACUUAUCUGCCCUCUCCUCAAAGACAAAAGACCUCAGCUGUUAUACUUCGAUGUACAUUAUGUGUGUAUAAAACUACGUGUUUUGGCAGACCUGUGCAGUGCCAAGGAAGUCGGAUUUUAGCUUGGAUGUAGAAGUCAUUUCAGAUGUUGUUUUACAGGAAAAACCAAAAUGCAUAUUCCUAACUUCUACCAACAAUCCAGAUGGGAGGUAACUGAAAAUUGUCUCUUUCCGUACGUAUGUUUGAUAUACACGUGCUAUAAGAUUGAUAUUAUGGCCCUUUUGUGUUUUAAGUAAUACAGUCUAUUAAUAAGCGGUUUAGGGUACUCACCAGAACAAAAUUAUUGUUAAAACUGAUUAUCCAUUGAUAUAUGAUCUAUCUUCUCCCUAUCUCGGGAUCUGGUUUUUUAUAGUAUUUGAUUCAUUCCAAACUUGAGAAACCAACUUAACUUAUUCUUUUAAUACAAGUUGCGUACUGGUCCCUAACAUUACUGGUGCUACUAGGGAACAUGUAAGCAAAAAGUAAAGGAUUGGAUAGUAUUUCCAGCUAUCCUGCUGAGAAGUUAUCAAGUAAGCAGUUGACGUGGCACUUUUGGUAGACAUGGAUUUAAGGUUAGCAUGAUGAGCUGUGUCACAGAAAUAGAAGACCAGAAAAGGAAAAAAAAAUGGUUUUUGAGUAGAAUUGCAUCUUCGGUUAUGAACAUCUUGAUACAAAUGCUUCUGGUUUCUUAUUUUUUUUAUCACAAUGAAGAUUGGAGAUGGUUUAUUCUGACACAAUGACUCCACAUACUUCUCUUAUCAUAACAUGUAUGGUUUCUAGAAUCUGAGUGUCACUCUAAGAUAUUGUAUUUUCAUGUUCUACUUAUUUGAUGACAGUAUAAUAAGUGAUGAGAUUCUCCUGAAAAUCCUUGAGCUUCCUAUAUUGGUCGUGCUGGAUAAAGCAUAUAUUUCAGGACUCGAAUCGAGGAUGCAGUGGGUGAAAAAGCACGAGAAUUUAAUUGUUCUGCGAACAUUUAGCAAACGAGCUGGCUUAGCUGGACUCCGUGUAGGAUAUGGAGCAUUUCCGCUGAGCAUAAUUGAAUAUGGAGAGCUAAGCAACCAUAUAAUGUGUCUGUUACUGCUGAAGUUUCUGCUUGUGCAGCAUUGCAGAAUCCCACCUAUCUUGAGACGGUGAAAGAAGCUUUGCUACGAGAGAGGGAACGUCUUUUUAACCUCCUAAAGCAGCUCCAGUUUCUCAACCCGUAUCCAAACUAUUCCAAUUUCAUUCUCUGUGAGGUUACAUCGGGAAUGGAUCCUAAGAAGCUGAAGGAGGACCUCGCGAAAAUGGGGGUGAUGAUUCGUCACUACAACAACAAAGAGUUGAAGGGUUAUGUUCGCAUAUCUGUUGGGAAGCCUGAACACACAGAUAUAUUGAUCGAUUGCCUCAGACGCUUGUCCCCUAAAUACAGCACCUUAAACCAGUUUCUUUCUUUCUUUCUUUGUCAGCAGUUAGUGAGGGAUUGGAGUUGUAUUUUGUUUGUCAAUUUAUUGCUGAAAAGCCAAAGAUUCCAGGGAAAGCUUGCAUUUUAACAGA
Non-coding RNA from Malus domestica (apple), 5600 nucleotides. Lineage: Eukaryota; Viridiplantae; Streptophyta; Magnoliopsida; Rosales; Rosaceae. The record is from RefSeq and is a predicted model, not a curated record.